Molecule: non-coding RNA, 971 nt
Organism: Danio rerio (zebrafish)
Lineage: Eukaryota; Metazoa; Chordata; Actinopteri; Cypriniformes; Danionidae
Source: Ensembl
GUUAGUCACACUGCUGUAAAUCACGCGUGCUCGAGACGGAGGGAAGAUUGUUCUUGGUGUUUGCUAUAAUUUGUGCUUAUUGUGUGCGUUAUUGACAAGAAACCACACAUACACACAAACACACCUAUCAUCACACCAAUUAUAAAUGCUUGGAAGUUCUACAUCCAUCAACCAGAUUAAAGUUUGUUUUUUGAGAACUGGACUGUUGCACCUCUUUUUAAUAGAAGAGCAUGGCUGGAAAGCAGGAGCUAGUGUAACGCACACAGCAAAUAACUGGACACAGAGAAGACAGAACAAGCACAUAAUCUCCUCCACCUCCUCCUCCUCUUCUUCUUCUUGUGUGGCGAGUUACAGAGAGCAGCGUAAAGCUGAAUACUGGAGAGUGUAUAAUAAUAAUAUGUGUACAGUUUGGUCAAAUCAGUGUCAUAGAGCUCAAUGUAGAUUUGUAGAAAAUAAAAUGACUGCUUUCCCAUAUAUUAUCUAAUCUUUCUUCAUGAAGUCUAGCGCAGCUUGUGUUAUAUUCCCCAUGUGUGACUGCUCUGAUGAGAACAGCUCAGGCAUUGAGAGGAUCAGGAGUUGUCCUGUUGUGUCGCUGCACUGAUAAUCCUCUCGUGUGUAACUGCAGAUGAAAGCAUCGUGUCUCUGUAGUGGUUUAAAGAUCAAUAUGAUCAUUAAAAUAUAAUGUUAAAUAAAUUGGAAUUAUUAAAAAUAAAUAAAUACAAAGAAGAGUUAAAAUCGAUAUGAUUUACACAACGAUGUGUUGCUCUUUGUAUUGAAUAACUGCCUGAGAAAAUGACUUGGAGUGUCCGCUAGGGGGUGAUCUAGAGCUGCAGAUAGUAGGCGUUGUUUAACUGCACUGUGGCCUUUUUUGUUUGUUUUUAAUUGCAUAACUGUCAGAAACAAACACACAACACAACACAAAUAAUGAAACACACAAAAAAUAAUACAACAAUGGUAAAAGUCAACAAAAA